GACGAACGCUGGCGGCGUGCUUAACACAUGCAAGUCGAACGGAAAGGCCCUGCUUUUGUGGGGUGCUCGAGUGGCGAACGGGUGAGUAACACGUGAGUAACCUGCCCUUGACUUUGGGAUAACUUCAGGAAACUGGGGCUAAUACCGGAUAGGAGCUCCUGCUGCAGGGGGGGGGUUGGAAAGUUUCGGCGGGUGGGGCUGGACUCGCGGGUUAUCAGCUUGUUGGUGGGGGAGUGGCUUACCAAGGCUUUGGCGGGUAGCCGGCCUGAGAGGGUGACCGGCCACAUUGGGCCUACGAUACGGCCCAGACUCCUACUGGGGGCAGCAGUGGGGAAUAUUGCACAGUGGGCGGAAGCCUGAUGCAGCAACGCCGCGUGUGGAAAGACGGCCUUCGGGUUGUAAACCGCUUUCGCCUGUGACGAAGCGUGAGUGACGGUAAUGGGUAAAGAAGCACCGGCUAACUACGUG
RNAcentral lists this ribosomal RNA (468 nucleotides) under uncultured bacterium. RNAcentral's name for it is "partial 16S ribosomal RNA". It matches the Rfam family "Bacterial small subunit ribosomal RNA", at positions 28 to 507 of the family's 1533-position model. The record is from RNAcentral.